Molecule: ribosomal RNA, 251 nt
Filed under: uncultured bacterium
Lineage: Bacteria
Description: partial 16S ribosomal RNA
Rfam family: Bacterial small subunit ribosomal RNA
Source: RNAcentral
UACGUAGGGUGCGAGCGUUAAUCGGAAUACUGGGCGUAAAGCGUGCGCAGGCGGUUUUGUAAGCCAGAUGUGAAAGCCCCGGGCUCAACCUGGGAAUGGCAUUUGGGACUGCAAGGCCUGAGUGCGGCAGAGGAGACUGGAAUUCCUGGUGUAGCAGUGAAAUGCGUAGAUAUCAGGAGGAAUACCGAUGGCGAAGGCAGGUCUCUGGGCUGACACUGACGCUCAUGCACGAAAGCGUGGGGAGCAACAAG